AAUUAGUUUUUUAAUUGGAAAAUAGAAUGAAUGAUUUUAUAAAAUAUAUUUAAUAUAAUAAAUUAAUUAUAUAAAAUUUUAUGUUUAGUGAAAAUACUAAAAUAUUAUAUUUAGACAAAAAGACCCUAUGAAGCUAGAAGAUACUAAAUUUUUAAUAUAAAAUUAAUUUUUCAUCUAUUUUUUGGGGUAAAACUUAAUGAAUUUAUUAUAAUAAAUUUAUUAAAAAUAAUCCUUUUUUGUUUGAAUUAAAAAAAGCUCCUCUAGGGAUAACAGCAUUAUAUUUAUAAAAGUUCUUAUUAGAAUAAAUGA
RNAcentral lists this ribosomal RNA (309 nucleotides) under Chiridius gracilis. Its description in RNAcentral is "partial 16S rRNA". The record is from RNAcentral. Lineage: Eukaryota; Metazoa; Arthropoda; Copepoda; Calanoida; Aetideidae.